UACGUAGGGGGCAAGCGUUGUCCGGAAUCAUUGGGCGUAAAGAGCGUGUAGGCGGCUCGGUAAGUCCGCUGUGAAAGUCCAGGGCUCAACCCUGGAAUGCCGGUGGAAACUGUCGAGCUCGAGUCCGGAAGAGGCGAGUGGAAUUCCUGGUGUAGCGGUGAAAUGCGCAGAUAUCAGGAGGAACACCAAUGGCGAAGGCAGCUCGCUGGGACGGUACUGACGCUGAGACGCGAAAGCGUGGGGAGCAAACAGG
Molecule: ribosomal RNA, 253 nt
Filed under: uncultured bacterium
Lineage: Bacteria
Description: partial 16S ribosomal RNA
Rfam family: Bacterial small subunit ribosomal RNA
Source: RNAcentral